GUUAAGCGACUAAGCGUACACGGUGGAUGCCCUGGCAGUCAGAGGCGAUGAAGGACGUGCUAAUCUGCGAUAAGCGUCGGUAAGGUGAUAUGAACCGUUAUAACCGGCGAUUUCCGAAUGGGGAAACCCAGUGUGAUUCGUCACACUAUCAUUAACUGAAUCCAUAGGUUAAUGAGGCGAACCGGGGGAACUGAAACAUCUAAGUACCCCGAGGAAAAGAAAUCAACCGAGAUUCCCCCAGUAGCGGCGAGCGAACGGGGAGCAGCCCAGAGCCUGAAUCAGUGUGUGUGUUAGUGGAAGCGUCUGGAAAGGCGCGCGAUACAGGGUGACAGCCCCGUACACAAAAAUGCACAUGCUGUGAGCUCGAUGAGUAGGGCGGGACACGUGGUAUCCUGUCUGAAUAUGGGGGGACCAUCCUCCAAGGCUAAAUACUCCUGACUGACCGAUAGUGAACCAGUACCGUGAGGGAAAGGCGAAAAGAACCCCGGCGAGGGGAGUGAAAAAGAACCUGAAACCGUGUACGUACAAGCAGUGGGAGCACGCUUAGGCGUGUGACUGCGUACCUUUUGUAUAAUGGGUCAGCGACUUAUAUUCUGUAGCAAGGUUAACCGAAUAGGGGAGCCGAAGGGAAACCGAGUCUUAACUGGGCGUUAAGUUGCAGGGUAUAGACCCGAAACCCGGUGAUCUAGCCAUGGGCAGGUUGAAGGUUGGGUAACACUAACUGGAGGACCGAACCGACUAAUGUUGAAAAAUUAGCGGAUGACUUGUGGCUGGGGGUGAAAGGCCAAUCAAACCGGGAGAUAGCUGGUUCUCCCCGAAAGCUAUUUAGGUAGCGCCUCGUGAAUUCAUCUCCGGGGGUAGAGCACUGUUUCGGCAAGGGGGUCAUCCCGACUUACCAACCCGAUGCAAACUGCGAAUACCGGAGAAUGUUAUCACGGGAGACACACGGCGGGUGCUAACGUCCGUCGUGAAGAGGGAAACAACCCAGACCGCCAGCUAAGGUCCCAAAGUCAUGGUUAAGUGGGAAACGAUGUGGGAAGGCCCAGACAGCCAGGAUGUUGGCUUAGAAGCAGCCAUCAUUUAAAGAAAGCGUAAUAGCUCACUGGUCGAGUCGGCCUGCGCGGAAGAUGUAACGGGGCUAAACCAUGCACCGAAGCUGCGGCAGCGACACUGUGUGUUGUUGGGUAGGGGAGCGUUCUGUAAGCCUGCGAAGGUGUGCUGUGAGGCAUGCUGGAGGUAUCAGAAGUGCGAAUGCUGACAUAAGUAACGAUAAAGCGGGUGAAAAGCCCGCUCGCCGGAAGACCAAGGGUUCCUGUCCAACGUUAAUCGGGGCAGGGUGAGUCGACCCCUAAGGCGAGGCCGAAAGGCGUAGUCGAUGGGAAACAGGUUAAUAUUCCUGUACUUGGUGUUACUGCGAAGGGGGGACGGAGAAGGCUAUGUUGGCCGGGCGACGGUUGUCCCGGUUUAAGCGUGUAGGCUGGUUUUCCAGGCAAAUCCGGAAAAUCAAGGCUGAGGCGUGAUGACGAGGCACUACGGUGCUGAAGCAACAAAUGCCCUGCUUCCAGGAAAAGCCUCUAAGCAUCAGGUAACAUCAAAUCGUACCCCAAACCGACACAGGUGGUCAGGUAGAGAAUACCAAGGCGCUUGAGAGAACUCGGGUGAAGGAACUAGGCAAAAUGGUGCCGUAACUUCGGGAGAAGGCACGCUGAUAUGUAGGUGAAGUCCCUCGCGGAUGGAGCUGAAAUCAGUCGAAGAUACCAGCUGGCUGCAACUGUUUAUUAAAAACACAGCACUGUGCAAACACGAAAGUGGACGUAUACGGUGUGACGCCUGCCCGGUGCCGGAAGGUUAAUUGAUGGGGUCAGCGCAAGCGAAGCUCUUGAUCGAAGCCCCGGUAAACGGCGGCCGUAACUAUAACGGUCCUAAGGUAGCGAAAUUCCUUGUCGGGUAAGUUCCGACCUGCACGAAUGGCGUAAUGAUGGCCAGGCUGUCUCCACCCGAGACUCAGUGAAAUUGAACUCGCUGUGAAGAUGCAGUGUACCCGCGGCAAGACGGAAAGACCCCGUGAACCUUUACUAUAGCUUGACACUGAACAUUGAGCCUUGAUGUGUAGGAUAGGUGGGAGGCUUUGAAGUGUGGACGCCAGUCUGCAUGGAGCCGACCUUGAAAUACCACCCUUUAAUGUUU
Molecule: ribosomal RNA, 2187 nt
Filed under: Escherichia coli
Lineage: Bacteria; Pseudomonadati; Pseudomonadota; Gammaproteobacteria; Enterobacterales; Enterobacteriaceae
Description: partial 23S ribosomal RNA
Rfam family: Bacterial large subunit ribosomal RNA
Source: RNAcentral